CGGCGGACGGGUGAGUAACACGUGGGUAACCUACCUAUAAGACUGGAAUAACUCCGGGAAACCGGGGCUAAUGCCGGAUAACAUUUAGAACCGCAUGGUUCUAAAGUGAAAGAUGGUUUUGCUAUCACUUAUAGAUGGACCCGCGCCGUAUUAGCUAGUUGGUAAGGUAACGGCUUACCAAGGCAACGAUACGUAGCCGACCUGAGAGGGUGAUCGGCCACACUGGAACUGAGACACGGUCCAGACUCCUACGGGAGGCAGCAGUAGGGAAUCUUCCGCAAUGGGCGAAAGCCUGACGGAGCAACGCCGCGUGAGUGAUGAAGGUCUUCGGAUCGUAAAACUCUGUUAUUAGGGAAGAACAAAUGUGUAAGUAACUAUGCACGUCUUGACGGUACCUAAUCAGAAAGCCACGGCUAACUACGUGCCAGCAGCCGCGGUAAUACGUAGGUGGCAAGCGUUAUCCGGAAUUAUUGGGCGUAAAGCGCGCGUAGGCGGUUUCUUAAGUCUGAUGUGAAAGCCCACGGCUCAACCGUGGAGGGUCAUUGGAAACUGGGAAACUUGAGUGCAGAAGAGGAAAGUGGAAUUCCAUGUGUAGCGGUGAAAUGCGCAGAG
This 612-nucleotide ribosomal RNA is filed under the name Staphylococcus cohnii. RNAcentral describes it as "bacterial SSU rRNA". It matches the Rfam family "Bacterial small subunit ribosomal RNA", at positions 96 to 695 of the family's 1533-position model. The record is from RNAcentral. Lineage: Bacteria; Bacillati; Bacillota; Bacilli; Caryophanales; Staphylococcaceae.